UAAUGUGAGGACAAUCUGAAUGUGACAUCUGUCACCCCACUGAUCACCAGAGUUGAUUUGGCUGAUCUGGCUAGCUAGAGAAUAUCUUACCCUUCUUCCCCCAACACUUCAUGUGUGUCCCUCUGGAAGCUGCAGCCUCAGUUGAAAAAGACAACCACCCCCAAUAAUGAAGGACUGUUCCUUAGUCAAGUGUGUACAAGUAGCUGCACUCCCCUGCUAGAACCUCCAAACAAGUCCUCAGAAUAGUACUCUUGGCUAAGCACACCCUGGGGGCAGGGCCAGCACAGCACUUUGGGGAUCAAAUCCGUCCUUGUGUCUGCCUAAGCAGGAGCUUUAA
Molecule: small nuclear RNA, 337 nt
Filed under: Octodon degus (degu)
Lineage: Eukaryota; Metazoa; Chordata; Mammalia; Rodentia; Octodontidae
Description: 7SK RNA (ENSODEG00000022966.1)
Rfam family: 7SK RNA
About the family: 7SK was discovered as an abundant small nuclear RNA in the mid-70s but a possible function has only recently been suggested. Two independent studies have found that 7SK RNA binds the CDK9/cyclin T complex (known as elongation factor P-TEFb). P-TEFb activates transcription by phosphorylating the C-terminal domain of RNA polymerase II.
Source: Rfam by way of RNAcentral